Hydra vulgaris (swiftwater hydra) is the source of this 2199-nucleotide non-coding RNA. Lineage: Eukaryota; Metazoa; Cnidaria; Hydrozoa; Anthoathecata; Hydridae. The record is from RefSeq and is a predicted model, not a curated record.
UAUUUUGCUUUUUAAAGGUAUUUUAUUUUGCUUUUUAAAGGUAUUUUGUUUGGAUUCAUCCACAAAAUUGCAAGCUUGAUUGUUAGUCUAUUAACUAUAGAUUCUUUAAACUGUUGUUUUUUUUUAAACAAAAACCUAUAAAUAAUCAGCAAAAGUUCACAAAAAUUGAAAUGUGUAAGAAUUUAUUUGAUUAGUUUCAGUAUCAUAUUGAUUAUGGUUUAGUUUUAUAUACCUGGAUAUGCUGUAUGUAAGCAUAAUUGUAUGCCAUUUUACUAUUAACUUUAGAGAACUCAUAUGAACUCUGUUCUUUUAUAUUUUCAGUGUGUACAUGAAAUGGUGGUUCCAUCUAUAAACCGAGAUAGUAAGUGAUACUUUGAUACGUAUCAAAGUACGUAUAAAACGUACUAGUAUAUACUAGUACGUUUUUCAAUCAGGAACAAAGUAGCACAAAUACUUUGCAUUAUAAUUAUUUUAUUUAUUGAAAGCAAAGUUUUAUUCAUCAAAUAAUUUUGUACAAUUAGAAUUGAGUUUAUUUUUAAUUUCAGUUUCCAAAAUAUCAUCAGAAACAGCCUUGGAUACAUACAAUAAUAUUUUGGAUUACCUAAAUAUUAAUGGGAGCAUUGUGUCUCUCAAACAUCCUGAUUUUCUUUUGAGCAAUAGACACUUUUUUCAAAUUUUCAAAGAAAAAAAUAAACAUAAGUUAACAUGGCCAAAUUUGUUUACAUUUUUUUCAACCUACUCUAAAAAUUUUUUUUUAACCAUUUAAACAUCGGAGAGAAGCAAUUUUGUUGUUGACUAAAAUUAACAACUGUGCAAUCUGUCAUCGAAGAUUUGAAGGAAACAAUAAGCUUUCUAAGAUCAUCCUUGUAGUUGUGAUUUUUAGAAGAAAAUAACUGAGCCAUAUCAGUAAAUAAAUUUUUAUUACCCAAAUAAGAUUGUUCCUUGCCCGAAAACAUAUCUACUAUCCCUAAUGUGUACCAGAUGAUGUUGUAACUUGAAAACUACCAACCUCCUUAAAAUUGUACUUUGUGCCAUCUGCAUAAAGAACAUUGUGCGAUUAAACAUAGCCUCUCUAACUUGAGCUUUUAAUAGAAUGUUUAUUUCACUAAAAAAUUCAACAGCUAAAGAAUUUUUAGGAAACGUGCCUCUUAAAAUUCCAGCAAUAUUUUGUAGUACAGUUCUGAUAACAGAUUUAACAUUAUUGACAGAAACAUUUCUACUUAAGAGAUCGUCAUAGAGCAAAUUUCCUCAUUAUAUCUACCCUCUUCAAAAAUGUGAUUUUUGUGUUGAUAGACAACUUGGCUUACCUUCUUGCUGGUGUCUAUCGUUAAAAAUUAUUAUUAUAAUGUUUGGUUACUGAAACUUUCUACCUCUAAAAGCCAAGAGAUAAGUUUUAGAAUAACAACAUUUUUUUUUUUAAUGUUGUUUUCAUUUUUUUUAUCUUAAUAUUGUCAAUAGUUCACAUAAACAUUCUCAAAGAGUUGAGUUUCUGCUGUUACACCUGUUAUUGCUGUUGUAAGUACUCAAAAUUUCAGGAAGUUCUAUUGCUGUGUCUUAUAGAUGUCUAAAGUUAUACAUUUGGCUAAUUUAGGUCAGCUAGUGCUUGUUCUUUAUUUUGUUACUGGCAUGAUGAUUUAUUUUGCUCACUUUUUUUUCUUACUGUCAUCAGUUAUUCAUUUUAUCAACAAGGGUUAUGAUAUAAGAUAUAGUUAACAAUAGCUACCAUUACAACUACACCAAAAGUAGCAGUUAAAAAUAUGGCUAUGCAAUUUUUAAUUGUAAUGAGAUAUUUGAUCAAUUUUUUAAUAGAAUAAUGUGAAAGUAUAGACUAUUCUGGCAUGUUGAUACCAUGGCUAUUUUAAUAUUUUUAACAUUUAUAUGAUUUAAAAAUUCAAAUCCUUCUGGCACACAUUUAGAGUUCAUUUUGUAAAUCAAUUUAUUGACAUAUGUUGAUCAAUGCGUUUAUCAAGGACUCUUCUGGCACAAAAGCAUGCCAACUCUCACGUGUUGGCAGAAAGUUACCAAAAUAUGUUGAGGACUUAAUUCAGAGAUAAUGUUGCUAAACGAUUUACAGUCGAUAAUCUUUUGAAAGCAGAAAAACUUAGGUUAGCAUCAAAUAGAAAGUUAGCGCAAUUUCUGGUAUUUGUGUGUCAAACAAAGAAUACGCGAAUUAUUUGAGAUAUGAUUGAAAUUUGCAAA